RNAcentral lists this ribosomal RNA (253 nucleotides) under uncultured bacterium. RNAcentral's name for it is "partial 16S ribosomal RNA". It matches the Rfam family "Bacterial small subunit ribosomal RNA", at positions 524 to 776 of the family's 1533-position model. The record is from RNAcentral.
UACGAAGGGGGCUAGCGUUGUUCGGAAUUACUGGGCGUAAAGCGCGCGCAGGCGGCCUUUCAAGUCAGUGGUGAAAGCCCGGAACUCAACUCCGGAACUGCCAUUGAAACUGUUUGGCUUGAGUACGAGAGAGGUGAGUGGAAUUCCCAGUGUAGAGGUGAAAUUCGUAGAUAUUGGGAAGAACACCGGUGGCGAAGGCGGCUCACUGGCUCGUUACUGACGCUCAGGCGCGACAGCGUGGGGAUCAAACAGG